UAGCGCAUGCGUGUGACGCUGUUUGGCGAAACAUGCAGCCAUUUGAAUGAUUUGAUCGCCAAUAUUAUUGGACAUCAUGGAAAGGAAGAGGAUUAUUUUAGCGGAUGUUUAUGUGGAGUUGUUUGGGUGCAGUUAUGAGCUGGAAGCUGAGAGAUGCUUCAGUGGCUUCUAGCAAGGACUAGCUACGAUGUUUGCAUCACAAAUCACUGGAUGUUUCCAUUCACUGCUGAAAAAUUUGUAAUCCUGCUACAAAUACUUUUAGAUGCAGCAGUGAUCUACGUCCCUGAACAGAGGGCAGGAGGAUGGGGAGAGACUGGUGAUGUGCAGGUUAUGGUAGCACCAGCCCCCAGUAUGGAAGAUCCAGUUCUGUAUUCUGCUGCUGAGUUUCACGCUUGCACCCUGGCUCCACCCACCCCGAGAGAGAAUAAAAGGAAGUGGAAUGAAGACCACCAGAAGAGGCUAGCGAGGAGAGCUGCGAGAUUUGUUUUGGAGACAUGUUUGUAAUAGUUUGGUUUGAUAAUUGACCUGGCGUAUGACCUUGCUUUCUGAUUUGACCUUGCCCUUGCCUUUGCCCUUAUAGUUAGUUAGUUUCACUUUGUUUCAUUGUUGUGUUUUCGCUGCUAAAUAGGGAGUGACUGCCAUUUUGUUUGUGGUGUGGUUUUGGCUUGUUUAUCACCCAGGGAGAAAGUUUAGUUGUGCUUGUAUUUUCCUUUGUCUGUAUAGGUUUAGGCAGUCUGGGUUGGUUUGUUACUUUGGCCUGGGUCACUUUUCACGUUAUAUUCCAGUGUCACAAUAUCUCUUUAUAUAUGCACUUCAGUGGAAUGCUGAAGUCGUGUAGUGAGAAGGGUUUUAUGCACGUCUUUGAAUUAUUUUUGGGAAGACCUAGACUGCAGUGAAGUGCUGCGAUAGUGACUGGAAUUUCAGUCAGUUUUGUUCUUGUUCUUUUGGUCUCUCACUUUUUGUCUCUAGGGGUGAACUCAACACAAUUAAGGAAGCCUCUCAGAAACAAAAGUAUUCAAAUGACACAUACAGUACAAUGGUUGUGCAUCCAAGACAUGUGAAUUUGUCAUUAAAAAUGUUGGCGAUUCCAAAAAUGUGGCUCUGACAGCUAUGAAUGCUUAGCACAUAAAAUUGUAUUAAAAUGUCUUGAGAUAAAAUAAUAAAUUCAUUUAUUAGUAUGGAGCUGAACCACUAUAGUGCCAAAUUGAACUGGAAGGAUAAAUUAUUUAUUUUUUGUAUAGAAAUUAUAUUGGUAGAACAGAGUUGUAUAGUUAUAUAAAGUUUUUACAAUAACACUAUUUUCAUGUCACUCAAGGUAGAAAAUGUCAAUAUAAGACACACUUUGUCCCUUCAUCCAUUUGCUGUCUACCUGUGUGAUGAUGACAGUUCUUUAUGACCUACAGAGUAAGCAAUGUGAUGGGUAAAUAUCAGUGUAUACAUAUCAUAAUGCAAACGAACAUGAAUGUGUCUUCCAGGAUUUCACAUUAUUUUAUCUGACAGUUGAAGCAGCUCUACAAUGAUGCAUGUUAAAAUGUCUAGUCUUGGCUCCCAGUCCAUCUGAACAUGCAGUUUACUCUGACACAUCAGCUAAGAGAUGCCUGUAAACGGCUGUAAAUGUUGUGUUUGCAUUCACAUUUAUGGAAUUUAGCUGACGCUUUUAGCCAAAGCGACUUACAAUUAUGAAUCAUUAUGUCUGUACACAAUAAUUAUUUGUCCAAUUAUUGGUACACACUAAUUGUCUAGAUUUAUCUCAGGUUCACGCAAGCCUAAUGUACAUAGUGAUUGGCCCUGUUUACAUUUGGUUUUAAAAUGCAUCUUGGGCAGUCGGAUCAAAGUGGAAAGCCAAAACACAUCAAUAUUUACAUUUCUCUUGUGUCACCAAGGUGUCCAGCUGUCUUUAGAUUUCCUUAAUGCCCAUGUCACUUCCGCUAAAAGGUCAAAGGGCACCACGCAGUUAAAACGCGCUGCUUAUGUGAAAAUGUACCUAAUCAGCAAAUGUGAAGUGAAGCAUGAUGUUCACUGCUGUCAGUGUGUGCCUGAUCUGAGAUUAUAUCUUGUUCCACCUUUUAACAGUGUGAUUAAAAAGUUUAAAUUAUAUUAGAGGAAUGUGCAGACAAAUUGUAUUUUAAAGCUUGCCUUUACCGAAAGCCGACAUUUAGUGCAGAUUAAAAAAAAAUCAGAAUCCCAAAAUCAAGAACCGAACACCUAUUUGACAAAACGAGUGUCCGAAUAUUUGAAUAUUUGGAUCCAACCCUAAUCAACAUAGGCUUAA
Molecule: long non-coding RNA, 2272 nt
Organism: Electrophorus electricus (electric eel)
Lineage: Eukaryota; Metazoa; Chordata; Actinopteri; Gymnotiformes; Gymnotidae
Source: RefSeq, a predicted model, not a curated record